GUGUCCCAGCCCCGCACUCUGCCCUCACCUGAAGCUGAAGGAAUCCGCUGCCUGGGAGUAGCAGGGCAGAAGAGCAAAGAGAAGGCUGUCUUGUGCUUAUGUCCUUACGUCUACACAUUCUACCUCCAAAACCCUGGCUGGCGGAGCACGAGACAAACAACCCGAAGUUGAGAGGCUGCUGCUGCUGCCGAAAGAGAUCAAAGGCAGAGGCCCUUCAGCGAAGGACAGACAUCCAAACAGAGGCUGGUGGCCCGCUCCAGAGAAGGAACAGCCUCUGCCCCAUGGCUUGGCUGGGGCUGGAACCAGUCGUGUCUGCAGCUGACUCUGCAGAGGGCAGGAGUCCCAGGGCCCCACAGGACACACACGCACAGCAGGGUAGGGGCCCAGGGAGCAGCGUGGAUUCCCAGGAGACCAAGCACACAUUCGCACAGCAGCGCAGCAGGGCCACCAAUGCUGGUGGGUGCGAGCCCUCCUCCACUUUAAUGAGGGACACCGCCUGCCCUUCUGAGCCUGCCCCACCCGGAGGGUCCACACACUCACAGGUGGGGAAGCUGAAGCUCGGAAAGUUUAAGAGAAUUGGCCUGGAGUCACUGAGGCCGACUCAAACCCAGUCUGGCCCGCAAUGAAGGGGUCAACUCACGAUUUACAACGACAUUUCCUGCGCUGAAACUAUGUCUUGGAUUCUGGAUUUCCACUUGACACUGGAGAAGUCU
RNAcentral lists this long non-coding RNA (713 nucleotides) under Equus asinus (donkey). Its description in RNAcentral is "lncRNA (ENSEASG00005025609.1)". Lineage: Eukaryota; Metazoa; Chordata; Mammalia; Perissodactyla; Equidae. The record is from RNAcentral.